UGUCUAAAAAUACGUGUUCUGCUACGAAGCUCCACUUCUCACAGUCUUUACCGUGUUUCCAUGUGUAUUGUUGUAUCCUAACAUUAGCUCCAGUUUAGGAGCAGGAUUGAUUUAAUAAAGACCGGCGCAGAAUAGGUUAAAGAGCGGGGGGGUUCCGAUUCCUCCUCUCUUGUUCGCCAUGAUGAACAAAUGAACUCUCGGGGAAUGAAAUUUAAAUUUCACAAAGGAGAGAAAGUCCUCUGCUUCGAACCAGAUCCAACAAAGGCCAAAGUGCUUUACGAUGCUAAGGUUGUAGAUGUUGUCAGUGGAAAAGAUGAAAAGGGUAGGAAAGUCCCAGAGUAUCUAAUUCACUUUAAUGGUUGGAACAGAAGUUGGGAUAGAUGGGCAGCAGAGGGUCAUGUCCUUCGUGACACGGAUGAAAACCGCACAUUACAACGUAAACUGGCCAGAAAAGCUGUGGCUCGCAUGAGGAGAAAGGGAAGAAGGAAGCGACGCUGUCGUCUGCCUGGUGUUGACUCUGUGUUAAAAACUCUUCCUGAAGAGGAAAAAGAGGAAAAUGAUGACAAUUCUUUAAUUUCGUCUUCUGAAGACAGUGAUGAGGACGAUUCUGAUGACGACGAAUCAUUAAAAAGUGAGGAGAGUGAUCUUGAAGAAACUGCAGAAAUGAACGAGGAUCAGUUCAUACUUGGACAGGUUAGUCCAUCCAUUGCCCAGCUGAUCCAUCUGGAUCAGUCCCUCAGAAAUCCAUGGCAAGGGCCUAUUAAAGAAGAUCAAGACAUUCACCCUAAAAAGGACAUGGAGGAUAAAGCAAUAAACAUAGAAAUCCCUGAGGUCUUGAAGAAGAAGCUGGAAGAUGAUUGUUACUACAUUAACAAGAGAAAAAAGCUGGUGAAACUUCCUUGCCAGAUGAACAUUGUCAACAUCUUGGAGUCCUACGUGAAACAUUUUGCGAUUAAUGCAGCUUUUUCAGCAAAUGAAAGAUGCCGGCAUCAUCUGACUACCUCGCAGAUUAAUCUAAAUCCUCAUUAUGUCCCACCAGAAAAGAAUGUUGAACUUUGUAAAGAAAUGGUGGAUGGUUUGCGGAUUACCUUUGACUUCACACUUCCAAUGAUCCUGCUGUACCCUUAUGAACAUGCCCAGUUCAAGAAGGUGACGUCUUCCAAGUUCUUUCUACCAAUCAAAGACAACUCUGCCAGUUCCAGCAGGAGCCUUGAAGAGCUGUCUCCUAGUCCCCCUCCUCUGCACCCCUCCACACCCCAGUCCACGGAUAGCCAGCCCACAGUGAGCGAAGUCUCCACGCCCAAGCGCAAGAAAGCAGAGCCCGAAGCCCAGCAGCCACUACGGAGAUCGACGAGACACGCAUCUGGGGGAGACCGGCUCUCCGAAAGCAGUGCCUCCCCACAGCCCAAGCGCCGUCAUGCAGAGACCCCCGCUCCACUGCCAAAGCUGUUCCUGCAUUUAGACAAGAAAACUCCUGUUCACAGCGGCUCCUCUUCUCCUCUUACACUGACUCCAAGCAAAGAGGGAAGCUCAAUGUUAUCGGGACGGGAAGGGAGGAGAAAUAAUGAACUAAAUGAGGUGCUGUGUUGGAAACUGACCCCUGACAAUUAUCCACAGAGUGAUCAGCCCCCUCCUCCAUCAUACAUGUAUGGAUCACAACAUCUGCUCCGCCUCUUUGUUAAGCUUCCAGAAAUCCUGGGAAAGAUGCACAUUCCUGACAAAAAUCUGAAGGCUUUAGUGAAGCAUCUGGAGUUGUUCCUGAGGUCCUGAGUACCUCCUCAACCUGCUGACCCACUAUGUCCCUGCCCGCAAGCUGAGGUCCUCUGACUCUGGCCUGCUUGCUAUCCCCCACACUUGGAGAACGCUGGUUUAGCUUCAUGACUACGACUCUCUGGAACUCUCUCCCAGCUUUGGUUUUUGGCAGAGUUCCAUGAGGAUUUCUUUCCCGAAUCUGCGUAUGUAUCUGCGUCAGAGGCCCACUACAGCAUGAAACACCCACGGGCGAUCUACUGAUUCAGAAAUCAAUAAUGGAAACAGAUCGGAACUUUUCACUUAAUGUAUGAUACAUUACAGCUUUUUUGCCCUGUCGCUAACAGCUGAAGCAUUAGAGGACUUUGAAUGACCUUCAUAAAGCCAAGAGGCCUAGUACCUUCAUAAGAUACUGCUGCUUGGAAGUGAUAUACAGUGGUGGUGAAGACUGGAACCACAUUUGUGCUUUUAUCGUUUCUCUGUUGCACUGCAUCCCUUUUUUUGUCUGAGCCUUGCAUUGACAUUUUAUUGCUAAAUGACUGCAUUCCUCUACAUGGUGUAGCUGUUCAGUUUUAUUUUUGGGCAGAAAAUGUGGACAAGCGUUACUGUAAAUAUGCAGUUCAUUGUUUCAUUAUUUAAUGUUUUCGGUGGCAGUUUUACCUUGUUUUAAAUACAGCUCCAUGGAGUAGAACCACUUGUUCGUAAUGGUUUAAUGUAAAGAAACUAUUUCAUUUUCAAUAGGAACUUGACUAUAAAACUUGUUCCAGAACUAUGUUACUUUCUUAUAUAAACUCGCCUUCACAUUG
Molecule: RNA transcript, 2555 nt
Organism: Acipenser ruthenus (sterlet)
Lineage: Eukaryota; Metazoa; Chordata; Actinopteri; Acipenseriformes; Acipenseridae
Gene name: male-specific lethal 3 homolog
Exons: 15
Source: RefSeq, a predicted model, not a curated record